GGGGCCGACCUGGUUUCGACGUGGGUUGCGAAGCAGUGGAGGGCAUACCGAGGACCCGUCACCUCGUUAAUCAAUGGGAAUGUAAUAACUGCUAACGACGAACGUUACGCACUGGCUGCCUAAGGGCUAGCCGUCCUCGCACUGGCUCGCUGACGGGCUAGGGUUCGCAAGAACUGGCGAGGUCAUUUACGUCAGAUAAGCUUCGGGAGUGUCACGGGCCCGAGGACGAAAACCUAGUGACUCGCCGUCGUAGAGCGUGUUCGUCCGCGAUGCGGCGGUUAAAACAAAUGACAGAACUAAGUAUGUAGAACUCUCUGUGGAGGGCUUGCGGACGCGGGUUCGAUUCCCGCCGGCUCCACCA
This 361-nucleotide transfer-messenger RNA is filed under the name Cupriavidus campinensis. RNAcentral describes it as "Standard tmRNA". It matches the Rfam family "transfer-messenger RNA". From Rfam's summary of the family: Bacterial tmRNA, also known as 10Sa RNA or SsrA, is named for its dual tRNA and mRNA-like properties. Its role is to liberate the mRNA from a stalled ribosome. RNAcentral also lists the same sequence under 4 other names. Lineage: Bacteria; Pseudomonadati; Pseudomonadota; Betaproteobacteria; Burkholderiales; Burkholderiaceae. The record is from RNAcentral.